UAAAUACAACACCGAGAAGUAAAAUAGCUCUAAUACUAUCACUACAACAAAAAUGGUGUAUAGUGACACUUUUAAAUGUCGGUACAGAUAAAAAAAAGUGUUGCUGGCUAAAUUACCGACACUUUUAAAAAGUGUUGUUAUAUGUGGGGUCGCUAGGUAUAUAGUGAUGGUUAAAGAGUGUCGGUAUAAUAUGGAAAGAGUGAUGCUAAUUUA
This 213-nucleotide long non-coding RNA is filed under the name Ananas comosus (pineapple). RNAcentral's name for it is "long non-coding RNA (ACOM_LNC034066)". The record is from RNAcentral. Lineage: Eukaryota; Viridiplantae; Streptophyta; Magnoliopsida; Poales; Bromeliaceae.